Molecule: ribosomal RNA, 1522 nt
Filed under: Buttiauxella sp. BIGb0552
Lineage: Bacteria; Pseudomonadati; Pseudomonadota; Gammaproteobacteria; Enterobacterales; Enterobacteriaceae
Description: partial 23S ribosomal RNA
Rfam family: Bacterial large subunit ribosomal RNA
Source: RNAcentral
UGUUCGAGUCUCUCAAAUUUUCACAACAUACGAGUGUGUCUUACGAGACAUCUUCGGGUUGUGAGGUUAAGCGACUAAGCGUACACGGUGGAUGCCCUGGCAGUCAGAGGCGAUGAAGGACGUGCUAAUCUGCGAUAAGCGUCGGUAAGGUGAUAUGAACCGUUAUAACCGACGAUUUCCGAAUGGGGAAACCCAGUGCAAUUCGUUGCACUAUCGUUAAGUGAAUACAUAGCUUAACGAAGCGAACCGAGGGAACUGAAACAUCUAAGUACCUCGAGGAAAAGAAAUCAACCGAGAUUCCCCCAGUAGCGGCGAGCGAACGGGGAACAGCCCAGAGUCUGAAUCAGUUUGUGCAUUAGUGGAAGCGUCUGGAAAGUCGCAGGGUACAGGGUGAUACUCCCGUACACAAAAAUGCACUUGCUGUGAACUCGAAGAGUAGGGCGGGACACGUGGUAUCCUGUCUGAAUAUGGGGGGACCAUCCUCCAAGGCUAAAUACUCCUGACUGACCGAUAGCGAACAAGUACCGUGAGGGAAAGGCGAAAAGAACCCCGGCGAGGGGAGUGAAACAGAACCUGAAACCGUGUACGUACAAGCAGUGGGAGCCUCUUUUAUGGGGUGACUGCGUACCUUUUGUAUAAUGGGUCAGCGACUUAUAUUCUGUAGCAAGGUUAACCGUAUAGGGGAGCCGCAGGGAAACCGAGUCUUAACUGGGCGUUAAGUUGCAGGGUAUAGACCCGAAACCCGGUGAUCUAGCCAUGGGCAGGUUGAAGGUUGGGUAACACUAACUGGAGGACCGAACCGACUAAUGUUGAAAAAUUAGCGGAUGACUUGUGGCUGGGGGUGAAAGGCCAAUCAAACCGGGAGAUAGCUGGUUCUCCCCGAAAGCUAUUUAGGUAGCGCCUCGUGAACUCAUCUUCGGGGGUAGAGCACUGUUUCGGCUAGGGGGCCAUCCCGGCUUACCAACCCGAUGCAAACUACGAAUACCGAAGAAUGUUAUCACGGGAGACACACGGCGGGUGCUAACGUCCGUCGUGAAGAGGGAAACAACCCAGACCGCCAGCUAAGGUCCCAAAGUCAUGGUUAAGUGGGAAACGAUGUGGGAAGGCACAGACAGCCAGGAUGUUGGCUUAGAAGCAGCCAUCAUUUAAAGAAAGCGUAAUAGCUCACUGGUCGAGUCGGCCUGCGCGGAAGAUGUAACGGGGCUAAACCAUGCACCGAAGCUGCGGCAGCGACGCUUAGGCGUUGUUGGGUAGGGGAGCGUUCUGUAAGCCGUCGAAGCUUACCUGUGAGGGUAGGUGGAGGUAUCAGAAGUGCGAAUGCUGACAUAAGUAACGAUAAAGCGGGUGAAAAACCCGCUCGCCGGAAGACCAAGGGUUCCUGUCCAACGUUAAUCGGGGCAGGGUGAGUCGACCCCUAAGGCGAGGCCGAAAGGCGUAGUCGAUGGGAAACAGGUUAAUAUUCCUGUACUCGGUGUGACUGCGAAGGGGGGACGGAGAGGGCUAUGUUAGCCGGGCGACGGUC